This 465-nucleotide ribosomal RNA is filed under the name Vreelandella stevensii. RNAcentral's name for it is "partial 16S ribosomal RNA". It matches the Rfam family "Bacterial small subunit ribosomal RNA", at positions 338 to 795 of the family's 1533-position model. Lineage: Bacteria; Pseudomonadati; Pseudomonadota; Gammaproteobacteria; Oceanospirillales; Halomonadaceae. The record is from RNAcentral.
CCUACGGGAGGCAGCAGUGGGGAAUAUUGGACAAUGGGGGGAACCCUGAUCCAGCCAUGCCGCGUGUGUGAAGAAGGCCCUCGGGUUGUAAACCACUUUCAGUGAGGAAGAACGCCUGGUGGUUAAUACCCAUCAGGAAAGACAUCACUCACAGAAGAAGCACCGGCUAACUCCGUGCCAGCAGCCGCGGUAAUACGGAGGGUGCGAGCGUUAAUCGGAAUUACUGGGCGUAAAGCGCGCGUAGGUGGCUUGAUAAGCCGGUUGUGAAAGCCCCGGGCUCAACCUGGGAACGGCAUCCGGAACUGUCAAGCUAGAGUGCAGGAGAGGAAGGUAGAAUUCCCGGUGUAGCGGUGAAAUGCGUAGAGAUCGGGAGGAAUACCAGUGGCGAAGGCGGCCUUCUGGACUGACACUGACACUGAGGUGCGAAAGCGUGGGUAGCAAACAGGAUUAGAUACCCGUGUAGUC